Lagenorhynchus albirostris (white-beaked dolphin) is the source of this 2570-nucleotide long non-coding RNA. RefSeq lists it as uncharacterized. The transcript has 4 exons. Lineage: Eukaryota; Metazoa; Chordata; Mammalia; Artiodactyla; Delphinidae. The record is from RefSeq and is a predicted model, not a curated record.
GAGUGGCGGGGAGAGAGAGAGAAGAUCGAACCGUUUUCUCCGCGGAGAGGUUUGGCCCUGGCUCUGCCUCUCUGUGAGACUUUAUAAAAUUUUAAGACUCUGGAUGAUGGUACUCUCCUCCAAAGAAGAAUUCACCUUCUGGCAGUGAGAUACACUUCAGGCAUAUCGCCUUUAUCCAGGGCUCUGAGGGUGCCCUGUUUUAAAUCGCCUAUCUGUCAUCCUGGAGCCCAGACGUGCUGCCUGCCUUGCCCUCAGCUGCCUGAUGUCCCAGCCCUCCUGGACUCUUUCUUAGCCACUGCUCUGACGUCCACAUACUUGGAGUGCUUCCUGUCCUCCUGGUAAACCUUGAGAUAUCCCGCCUCCAGCCGGUCACAGCCCUGGGGUGACUGUGGAUCUGGCUUCUGCUACCUGUUCAGAAAUGAGAAACGCUAUGGGACAGAUUAGGUAAGAAGUGCUACCAGCGAAAGACGGGCCAGAAAUGAAGAUGAAGCAUCUCUGAAAUGGUCAAGGAGGUUGCUAGGAGUAUUGACUCGAUUUACAAAACUUCUGUUUACAAAACUUCUGUUUACUCACGACUUUCCCAGUAGGAGAAAGGCAGGAUGCCUGUAGUGAUAGCCAACUGCAGCAUCCCUAGAGACGCAUGUCCACGGAGUCAUCCGGAAAAACACACUGGGGACAAGGGGCUUUUCAGAGGAGACAGUGCUGGAGCUUGGCGGUACCCACACUGGAUUGUCUGGUUUUCCUCCAGCAGCAUUUGGUCCCGAGGCUGCCCCGCGGCAGAGGAGUGGGGGCAGGGAGAGCCGAGACACCAAAGCUUGAAGGGCAGCUGAAUAGGAAGCAGCUUACAGCAUGUGGGCUCAAUUUUCCUCAAAAAGCUCAUAAUAUAACUGUCAAAAAUGGCACUAUGAACCCCAAUUGUAAGGUAAUUAUGUUCAGUCCCAAAUUCAACACAAUAAACGUUAUUUGCUCGCAAGCCCUAGCAACCAUCUCAUAAGGGGGAGAAAAAUACUGUACAAAAAACAAAAUGUAAACUCACAAGGCAGUAAUAAAACAGGCACACAACUAUUCAUUUCAAGUCUAUUUUGAAAAGCCUUUGAUAAUACCAGUAAUUCCCCAUAAAGCUCAUAGUCUCCUGCCACAGUUCCCUGCUGGAGAUAGAAAAAGGUUUUGCUGUUCUACAGUCAUUCCAUUUAAGGAGAUAAAGUCCACUUUCUUUCCCAAUUUUAAAUGUUUUUCAUUCUUAAAAAAAAGUUAAAUCCCUAACCACCUCUAUCCAGCUAAGCCUACCACCUAGGCAGGGCUCAGGGGCAGUAUCCAUGUGACUACUUCUUGUUUUGCACAACAAAAUUCAUUCAGUGGUCUUAACAAGGUGCUUAAAUGGAGUCCAAGAGCCUUGUCCACAAGGUACUGAAACGUUCCCCAAAAGGUAGAAAAUUCAACCAACCGUCUGCCCAUUUCUAAAUAUUCUGAUGCUUCUGAGCACGCAGGCCAGGUGGUCUCCCUUUUACAUCCUGGCUGACACGAGGGAGGCUGAGCAACUCCUCUGGGCACCGCUGGCAGGUGUACCUACAACAGAGGAAGGAAGGGGUAGGGGCUUGAGAUACACCUUUGGUUGUAAGAACAGAAACCUACUUAGACAAGUAAGAGGGUGAUGGUUAUAUCCUCUCAUGGACCCUGAGGAAAAGCUGAGCAGUCGGGCCUUGGGGAGAGCGGGAACCAGCAGCAAUUUUGGUGGGGGAGUGAAGUGGCAGGGAAAGGACAGGCAGGGCCGUGUACAGGGACAGAGGCCCCUAGAAGGGACUGGGCAUGUGGGUAAUUAGUCCCUUUAAUACAGGAAGACAGAAAGGAAAAGAAAGAAGAACAGAAGGUGGGGGAUGAAGUAAAAUAAUAGGAACCAAAGUGAAAAGGAAGAUAAGCAUAAACUGAGGAGUGAAGAAAUGUCAUCAACAAAAGUUUCAGCCAGCAGUCAGCAGCUCCCUGGUGCUGAAGGUCAGCCCGUCCCCUUCAAUCAAUCAACUAAAGCUUAGACUCUGCCUACUGUCCGAGCCCCUUCAUGGACAUGCAUGUACCCACAGCUUAAGAGUCCCCUAAUUUUGUUGUUUGGAGAGACACUUCUUUGGGAAACAACCCCAGUGUUCUUAUUUGCUGCAAGUAAUAAUAAACCCUUCAUUCUCCCGGGGCGGGGGUGGGGGGAUCAGCUGUCCCUAAUGUAGAACCAGCCUGUGUAGUACUGCAAAUACAAAGCCCUUCUAAUUUACCCACGUUGGUCAUUCUGAUUUACAUGAUUUAUAUUCUGAUUUUACGGACUAACUGUAAAGAGAGAAAGUUGUAUUCAUUGAAAGGAUGUGUAUGAUCUCGAAGAAGUCCACGUACUUUUCACGCUUCAGUUUUAAAAACUUGGCUUAUACAUACAAUAAACGUAAUCCGUAAUUGUAUUGGGGGCACACUGAUGUUUCUUGCUACAACUGAUGUGAACAUCAGUUUACUUCACUAGGUUUAUCUUUACAUACAUGGCAUCAAUUCUUUGUCCCAAGGUGUAUGCCCUAAACUUUAAUAAAUCGUUGUUUCAA